GAUGAAGAACGCAGCGAAAUGCGAUACGUAAUGUGAAUUGCAGAAUUCAGUGAAUCAUCGAGUCUUUGAACGCACAUUGCGCCCCCUGGUAUUCCGGGGGGCAUGCCUGUCCGAGCGUCAUUGCUGCCCUCAAGCACGGCUUGUGUGUUGGGCCUCCGUCCUCCUCCCGGGGGACGGGCCCGAAAGGCAGCGGCGGCACCGCGUCCGGUCCUCGAGCGUAUGGGGCUUCGUCACCCGCUCUUGUAGGCCCGGCCGGCGCUUGCCGACACAUCAAUCUUUUUUCCAGGUUGACCUCGGAUCAGGUAGGGAUACCCGCUGAACUUAAGCAUAUCAAUAAAUCGGAGGA
RNAcentral lists this unclassified non-coding RNA (346 nucleotides) under soil metagenome. RNAcentral describes it as "partial contains 5.8S ribosomal RNA, internal transcribed spacer 2, and large subunit ribosomal RNA". The stretch from base 1 to 120 matches the Rfam family "5.8S ribosomal RNA", at positions 35 to 154 of the family's 154-position model. The record is from RNAcentral.